Triticum dicoccoides is the source of this 1839-nucleotide long non-coding RNA. RefSeq lists it as uncharacterized. The record is from RefSeq and is a predicted model, not a curated record. NCBI's taxonomy places the organism in Eukaryota, Viridiplantae, Streptophyta, Magnoliopsida, Poales, Poaceae. The transcript is spliced from 6 exons.
GGUGAUGGCAUCCUGAGAGGCCUGGGCCUCCUCCACAGACAAGGCGGCGGCGCGCUUGGCGGCGGUGAUCUGAGCGCCAGUUCAAGGGCAGAUGAUGUGCGCAAGGAAGGAAAGAUGCAGACAAACAACACCGAAGACGUCUUCAAAACGCUUGAUGAGAUUGAGUUCCCAGAGAUGGUAGAGCCCCUGAGGGCUGCAUUGGAAGGAAUGAUACAAUCAAUCCAACUGUUACCUUUGGGGUGCUUUUUGGAUGGACUAAUCUGAAGAUGUUGGCUAGCUUGCACCGCCAUCAUAUAAUCUAGAAGCAAGGGCAAGGAUUAUAGGGAAAAUAAAGGCAAUUCGCCAACCAGAGGAAAUGCCAACCAAUACAUUUUUGUACUUCCUCUGUUACAGAGGCCAACGACGGCUGCUAGCAAUGAUAUAUACAUAUCAACAAUUCCAAGGAGGUGCAUGUGUCAGUAUGCAUAGCAUAGUAUAUAUAUGCUUGACACUGUGACUGGAGGAGAUCCAGGAAGGGGUGAACUCAAAAUCAUCUGUGAUUUGAUUGGAAAAUACUCUCCAGCAUCUGAAACAUCUAAAGGCGAUCACUCGACCAAGUAUGUUAUACAAUAUACCCAGCUCGAUGAUUGGAGCAGUCCCAGCCGCUAAUUAGUGCUAAUUAGUACUCCAGUGUUGAAUCACACAGCUAAGUAUCAACACUCCCUCGAGACUUGGCUAUUAACAAAGUAGUGCUAGGUCCUCAGCGUUCGUUCUUACUCUCUAUUUUCUCGAGUUGGUUUCUCUUUAUUCACUUUUUGCUUUCUAUUUUCAUUAUCACUAUUCAUUUGGUAUCUUGGUUUCUCUUUGUUUAGUCUCCACCCUCUUUCUCCUUACCUUAUUUUUUGAUUUGUAUGUCUAAGUUAAGAAUGAGAGGCUAGAUAAACAAACAGGAAAAUGCUCAGUUUGUUCAGGCCUUAGGGACGUAUUCCAUCACUGUCCACCAACAAGUUCAACUCCGACAACGGUUCACUGAUAAUGUGGGCCGGUGCACCAUGUCAGCAACGUCGACAGCCUGACAGGCCAUUUUCCAACUAGGCCUAUUGUAAAUGACGAGACCAUGAGGAUGUAAUCAGUAAUAUUGCUCCUAAAAAUGAAGAUGUACUUUGCCGUUCCACUAAUCUCGACAAAAGAGUAGAUUAUGGUGCCCCUUGUGCUACAGUGGAAUUGAAUCACAAAAAAUUCUACAGAUUCAUCAAACAAUGAAGGAGGUUAGUUUUUACCUGAGAGGCAACGGUGGCCACCGUGCUCUUCCUGGAGCCUCGCUUGCGGUCGAAAGUCAUCAGCUUCAGGGAGUGCCAGCACGGCAAAAAUAGACGCCACCUUCGGCAGGGAGCAACAACAGCAACUGCGAGGAUUUGGCUCGCCGAUACGAGCAACGGCGGCGCCAUACCCGCUUCCGCAGCUCCGAGCUGCUGGUCCGCCGAGAUGCAGAUGGCGCCGGGGAGCCUUUGGGCCUCCAAGCUGUCGGGCCACCGAGAUGCAGAUGUAGCCGCAGCGCCUCUGAGCUGUAGCGAGAGCCGCUCAGCUGCCAAGCUGCAGCGCGAGCUGCCGUGAAGAUGGAGCCGUGCUUUCUCUCCAGUACAAGUACAGUGGGGAGAGGGGAACGAAUCCAAUGAAACUGAUCGAUGGAACCAAGGCCAACAGUCAACCACGUGGUGAUCUCUAUGCUAUAUGUGCCACGCGUGUGUAUAGGUGUCCAGAAUGUGUGGUUCUAUCACAGUGGCAUAAUUGUCAUUUUAUCUUGGUGCUAAUUUGUAGCACCUGUAUGAUCUAUACUGUUUUGUCUGAUUUAUUCCAACU